RNAcentral lists this ribosomal RNA (468 nucleotides) under uncultured Glomus. RNAcentral describes it as "SSU rRNA". It matches the Rfam family "Eukaryotic small subunit ribosomal RNA", at positions 569 to 1041 of the family's 1831-position model. The record is from RNAcentral. Lineage: Eukaryota; Fungi; Glomeromycota; Glomeromycetes; Glomerales; Glomeraceae.
AGCAGCCGCGGUAAUUCCAGCUCCAAUAGCGUAUAUUAAAGUUGUUGCAGUUAAAGAGCUCGUAGUUGAAUUUCGGGAUCAAUACGUCGGUCGUGCCUCUGGUAUGUACUGGUGUUAUUGAUUUCUCCCUUCUGAUGAACCAUGAUGUCAUUCAUUUGGUGUUGUGUGGAGUCAGGACUGUUACUUUGAAAAAAUUAGAGUGUUUAAAGCAGGCUCACGCUUGAAUACAUUAGCAUGGAAUAAUGAAAUAGGACGUUCGAUCCUAUUUUGUUGGUUUCUAGGAUCAACGUAAUGAUUAAUAGGGAUAGUUGGGGGCAUUAGUAUUCAAUUGUCAGAGGUGAAAUUCUUGGAUUUAUUGAAGACUAACUACUGCGAAAGCAUUUGCCAAGGAUGUUUUCGUUAAUCAAGAACGAAAGUUAGGGGAUCGAAGACGAUCAGAUACCGUCGUAGUCUUAACCAUAAACUAUG